GUUGAUCCUGCGGGAGGCCGCUGCUAUCUGGAUUCGAUUUAGCCAUGCAAGUUCAGGGGUUCUUCGGAACACCGGCGAAAUGCUCAGUAACACGUCGUUAACCUGCCCUUAAGUCUAGAAUAACCUUGGGAAACUGAGGCUAAUGCUGGAUAUGAGAUUGAUACUGGAAUGUACUUUCUCUGAAAAGUAAUGCUUAAGGAUGGGACGGCGGCUGAUUAGGUUGUUGGUGGGGUAAUGGCCCACCAAGCCUAAGAUCAGUAGGGGCCUUGAGAGAGGUAGCCCCGAGAGGGACACUGAGAUACUGGUCCCAGCCCUACGGGGUGCAGCAGGCGCGAAACCUCUACAAUGCACGGAAGUGUGAUAGGGGAAUCCAGAGUGCCUAUACAUUGUAUAGGCUUUUGCCAAAGGUAAAUACUUUGGCGAAUAAGUGGUGGGUAAGACUGGUGCCAGCAGCCGCGGUAACACCAGCGCCACAAGUGGGGGCCCUUUUUAUUUGGUCUAAAGCGUUCGUAGCCGGUUUAAUAAAUCUUCUGUGAAAUUGUUAAGCUUAACUUAACAGCGUGCAGGAGACACUGUUAAACUUGGGACCGGGAGGAGUUAGGAGUAUUCUUGGGGGAGCGGUAAAUGCUAUAAUCCCUAGAAGACUACCUGUGGCGAAGGCGCCUAACUAGAACGGGUCCGACGGUGAGGGACGAAAGCCAGGGGAGCAAUCCGGAUUAGAUACCCGAGUAGUCCUGGCCGUAAACGCUGCGAGCUAGGUGUUGCACAUUCUUCGUGAAUGUGCAGUGUCGAAGCGAAGGCAUUAAGCUCGCCACCUGGGAAGUACGGUCGCAAGACUGAAACUUAAAGGAAUUGGCGGGGGAGCACCACAAGGGGUGCGGCGUGCGGUUUAAUCUAAUUCAACGCAGAGAAUUUCACCAAGAGCGGCGGCAGGAUGAAGGUCAGUCUAAAGGGCUUACCUAACGAGCCGAGAGGUAGUGCAUGGCCGCCGUCAGCUCGUGCCGUGAGGUGUCCUCUUAAGUGAGGCAACGAGCGAGACCUGUACCUACAAUUGCUAGCAACCAGGCAACUGGGAUUGAGCACAUUGUGGGGACUGCCUUGGAAACAAGGAGGAAGGUGCAGGCUACGGUAGGUCUGUAUGCUCCGAAUCCCUUGGGCUACACGCGCGCAACAAUGGUAGAGACAAUGGGAUACGACUCCGAAAGGAGUAGUUAAACCUCUAAACUCUAUCUAAGUUCAGAUUGAGGAUUGUAACUCAUCCUCAUGACGCUGGAAUCCCUAGUAAUCGGGUCUCAUCACAACCCGGUGAAUAUGUCCCUGCUCCUUGUACACACCGCCCGUCAAACCACUCGAGCAGGGUUUAGGUGAGGCCUAGUUUUUUUGAUUAGUUCGAACCUAAGCCCAGUGAGAUGGGUUAAGUCGUCACAAGGUA
Molecule: ribosomal RNA, 1432 nt
Filed under: metagenome
Description: bacterial SSU rRNA
Rfam family: Archaeal small subunit ribosomal RNA
Source: RNAcentral